Molecule: ribosomal RNA, 962 nt
Filed under: human gut metagenome
Description: bacterial SSU rRNA
Rfam family: Bacterial small subunit ribosomal RNA
Source: RNAcentral
AGAGUUUGAUCAUGGCUCAGAUUGAACGCUGGCGGCAGGCCUAACACAUGCAAGUCGAACGGUAACAGAAAGAAAGCUUGCUUCUUUGCUGACGAGUGGCGGACGGGUGGAGUAAAUGUCUGGGAAACGUGCCUGAUGGAGGGGGGAGUAACUACUGGAAACGGUAAGCUAAUACCGCAUAACGUCGCAAGACCAAAGAAGGGGGACCGUCGGGCCUCUUGCCAUCGGAUUGCCCAGAUGGGAUUAGCUAGUUGGUGAGGUAACGGCCCACCAAGGCGACGAUCCGUAGCCGGACUGAGAGGAUGACCGGCCACAUUGGAACUGAGACACGGCCCAGACUCCUACGGGAGGCAGCAGUGGGGAAUAUUGCACAAUGGGCGAAACCCUGAUGCAGCGACGCCGCGUGGAGGAAGAAGGUCUUCGGAUUGUAAACUCCUGUUGUUGAGGAAGAUAAUGACGGUACUCAACAAGGAAGUGACGGCUAACUACGUGCCAGCAGCCGCGGUAAAACGUAGGUCACAAGCGUUGUCCGGAAUUACUGGGUGUAAAGGGAGCGCAGGCGGGAAGACAAGUUGGAAGUGAAAUCCAUGGGCUCAACCCAUGAACUGCUUUCAAAACUGUUUUUCUUGAGUAGUGCAGAGGUAGGCGGAAUUCCCGGUGUAGCGGUGGAAUGCGUAGAUAUCGGGAGGAACACCAGUGGCGAAGGCGGCCUACUGGGCACCAACUGACGCUGAGGCUCGAAAGUGUGGGUAGCAAACAGGAUUAGAUACCCUGGUAGUCCACACCGUAAACGAUGAUUACUAGGUGUUGGAGGAUUGACCCCUUCAGUGCCGCAGUUAACACAAUAAGUAAUCCACCUGGGGAGUACGACCGCAAGGUUGAAACUCAAAGGAAUUGACGGGGGCCCGGCACAAGCAGUGGAGUAUGUGGUUUAAUUCGACGCAACGCGAAGAACCUUACCA